RNAcentral lists this ribosomal RNA (253 nucleotides) under uncultured bacterium. Its description in RNAcentral is "partial 16S ribosomal RNA". It matches the Rfam family "Bacterial small subunit ribosomal RNA", at positions 524 to 776 of the family's 1533-position model. The record is from RNAcentral.
UACGUAGGUGGCAAGCGUUGUCCGGAUUUAUUGGGUUUAAAGGGUGCGUAGGCGGUCUUUUAAGUCAGUGCUGAAAUACUCCAGCUUAACUGGAGGGGUGGCAUUGAUACUGGAAGACUUGAGUGCAGUCGAGGUAGGCGGAAUUGACGGUGUAGCGGUGAAAUUCGUAGAUAUUCGCAAGAACACCAGUGGCGAAGGCGGCUCACUGGCCCGGUACUGACGCUGAGGUGCGAAAGCGUGGGGAGCAAACAGG